This 253-nucleotide ribosomal RNA is filed under the name uncultured bacterium. RNAcentral's name for it is "partial 16S ribosomal RNA". It matches the Rfam family "Bacterial small subunit ribosomal RNA", at positions 524 to 776 of the family's 1533-position model. The record is from RNAcentral.
UACAGAGGGUGCUAACGUUGUUCGGAAUCACUGGGCCUAAAGCGCACGUAGGCGGCUUGGUAAGUGCGGUGUGAAAGCCCCCGGCCUAACCGGGGAACUGCAUCGCAGACUGCCAGGCUCGAGAGCGGGAGGGGAGACUGGAACUCCUGGUGGAGCGGUGAAAUGCGUAGAUAUUGGGAGGAACACCAGUGGCGAAGGCGGCUCACUGGACCGGAACUGACGCUGAGGCGCGAAAGCCAGGGGAGCAAACGGG